This 204-nucleotide ribosomal RNA is filed under the name uncultured bacterium. RNAcentral describes it as "partial 16S ribosomal RNA". It matches the Rfam family "Bacterial small subunit ribosomal RNA", at positions 524 to 728 of the family's 1533-position model. The record is from RNAcentral.
UACGUAGGGUGCAAGCGUUAAUCGGAAUACUGGGCGUAAGCGUGCGCAGGCGGUGAUGUAAGACAGUUGUGAAAUCCCCGGGCUCAACCUGGGAAUUGCAUCUGUGACUGCAUCGCUAGAGUACGGUAGAGGGGGAUGGAAUUCCGGCGUGUAGCAGUGAAAUGCGUAGAUAUGCGGAGGAACACCGAUGGCGAAGGCAAUCCC